This is a long non-coding RNA of Phragmites australis (common reed), 4393 nucleotides long. RefSeq lists it as uncharacterized. The record is from RefSeq and is a predicted model, not a curated record. Lineage: Eukaryota; Viridiplantae; Streptophyta; Magnoliopsida; Poales; Poaceae. The transcript has 7 exons.
AUGGUAGUUUAUCGUUGAUAGCAAACUAAAAACUUGCUCUAAAAAAGCAAGAGGAGAUCUGAACCUCUUACCCCAUUGAUUCAGCAAUAUCUAUCAAUCCGUGUGCAGAACCAAAAUUUUAUCCGUAUGUGAGCUCCAUGAGCCACAGUGCUCACCGAAGCUAUCAUCUCUCUAGUUAUGCCCCUUGGCUCCAUCUCCCUACUCAGCUCACCCUCAUCCAUCCGCCUCUCCACUACACUUUUGUGUUGCAGCUCUAGAGGCUCCAUACGCCUGAUGAUUCCCCAAUCGGCCAGUCCCCAAUCCGGCCGUCUGAUGCUCGAGGCUCACCGCCCUUCCCAUAUCUUGGAGAGCAGCGGAGCCGCUGGUUGCCGCCUUGCUCUCCCUGCGGUGUGCGCUCCGGGUCCAGCUUUGCCGUCUGUUCUCCUCGCCUCCCCGUGCAACUUCUCGCCUCUUUUGCUCCUUUGCUCGUCGGAUCCUCCUCCAUCGCAUAGGCCAAAGAAAGACAACUAUUUAUUGAAGAAUCAAGGGAUCUUUGAGGAGCUGGGUAUGUUUUGUAUCUCUAUUUUUUAGUUUAUAAUUGUCUGUUGGGCAAGAUCUAGGCCGAAAGAUUUUAUUUAGGAAGCAAAAAUUCCACUGUCAUGCUAUAUCGAUUAAAAAUCCAGUCGUCAGUUUUCUUAUUUGUUUUGGUGGGGACUGCGGUGAAUUGCCUGUAUUUUUUCUUCUUGCUUCAAUCCUCUUUGCCCCUUUGUUCUCUGUAAACCUCCGUCAUCUUUGAUCUAGUUUGGUAAAUGUAAUAAAUUUAUUUUUAUGUGUUAUUGUUAGUUAAUCAUGUAUGGUUUUGAGGUAUAUUUGAUUGCAUUAGAAUUUGUAAUGUGAUGUCUGUAAUUAGUGUGUUUGUUGAACAUACUUUAUGUAUACAUUUCAUAAGUCAUCUAUUUGAGGAUAAGUAAUUCAACAGAAAGGUAUCAUUGUACUUUGAUUUGCAAUGGUAAUACAGUUGUACUCUAGAUAUUGCGCGGCUAGACCUAGUAUAAUUUUUUUAUUCAUAAUAAUUCCUGUAUUUUGAAAUUUAUUAUAUUAUCGUCAAUGCAAGAAAUUAGUAUUUAGUUAAAAAAAAACUCAGUAGAAGUAAUAAGAUGGAAAAAGGAAAGGAAAAUACAUCUGUUUAUUUAUUUAGAUGAUUUAAAAAUCAAGCUACAUUGAGUUGUAAUGGCAAUACAGUUAAACUCAAGAUCUUGGUACUGCAUCCAAAUAAUAACUUUUUUUAGUUGUGGCUGCAAGUAUGUAAAAAAUUUAUGUUUUGAAGUACAUUGCUGAUAGACAUUAUGUAUUUUAGUGCAUACCGAAAGUUAUGAACUACUGAGAUUGAUACAUUAUUUGUUUGCGAAUCAUUGAUGAUGCUUCUUGCGUAUCAUUGAUGAAAACUAUUUAUAAGAUCUCUUUAUACACAAUGUUUUUGGCUGUGUCUUCACUUGGACAUUCUGAGUCGUUUAUUAGCAGCUUUAGUCCUGUUCUGUUUGUGACUCUAGAUAAAGCCACAUAUAGUUGUCCAUGUCACCAAGCGAUUCCAUUGUGUCAGGCGGUCACCACCUGCACCAGCAUUAAAUGUCGAUUACCUCGCUGCACAUAGGGGGUGGCCUGCAGGCCCCCUCCUAGAUGAUCUUUUUGAAGGAUUGAAGGCUCUGAGGGUCCGGAGGCAUGGCCUCCGAGAUCGCCCUAGAGCCCCAGGCCUCGGAGGGGGUUGGAGCCUGGUGGUCUUUGGGCCCGAACCGUUGGGGCCAAGGGACGUCAGAGGUUCUUAAUGGCAAUUCCCCUAACACCAAGUAAAAGGUUGAUUUGCUCAAGAGCUUGGGUAGAUCAAAACACUUCAUCACUCAUCCUCUUCCUAGUCGUCUGCCUCCCCUCCCCUGCUCUCUCCUCUCUUCUUCCCUAUCCUGAGCCUAGUGCCGCUACGACGGUAGGAGCCAACGAUGACCGCGACCUAGUGAUGGCACGACACAGGUUGAGGCUGAGCCCGUUUGCCUCCUCCAUUUCCUUUUCUAUUUGUCCUGUUCAUUUUUCAAUCCACUUCUUGUUUGAUGCAAGGAACUAUAGAUGCUUGGGUGAGUAGUUGAGGACCACCCCAACCUGGCAACAUGAACCACUGAACUCGAAGGAUGCCCCUACAUGGUGGGGGCACCACUUGGUAAAAGGACUGCUAGAAGGCAAAGGAAAUUGAGGAUCAAAGACUUGCUUGAAGGUGGUGGCAAAUCUGGUGACAAGAAAAAGAAGAAAAAUAUGAUCAGAUACCCAGUCACGUGCUUAAGAUGUGGUGAAAAGGGUCAAAGACAAGUUAGCUACAAAUGCCCCCUUAAUGAAACUAAAAUAAGGUAAUUAUUUAUGGGUUAAUUAUUUACAUUGCAUGCUUAUUGUAUCAAUUUUGGCAAGGAUGUCAAGGAUGCAUGGAGAUUUUGGCAGUUUUGUUUAUUCAAAUGGUAAGUACCUCAAGAUGUUAUACAUCAUGUACUCUCCAGCUGUGAGUCCAUGUUAUUGAUUAUUUCUUCCUUUACUCUAUUUUUUUGCUGGUGAAGGUUUUUUUUUUUCAACUGUCUUAUUAGUGCACAGAGUGACGGUUACAAGUACGUGGCUUGUCUUUAUCUUAAUCGACAAGAAGCGAGGAGGCCCUUUUCACAACAAAGGUGGUCACUCAGGAAUGAUUUGUAACUCGUGAUAAUUCUGUAUCACAUGGAGAUGAUUAGUAAUAUGCUUGUAAUCAGACCUCGCUGAGAGUGAGCCAUGCAUUUCUGGCCCAAUGAGGUGGGCCUUGUGACUAUGUGCAUUUGGAAGAAAGAAAAUCAUAUUGGCAUGCUUGCCUUGGCAACAGAGUUGGUUUCAAGGUUUUCCAGCUGUGUGUUGCUUGAAACGUCCAAGAGCACACAUGGAUCUACUGUUCUUUCUGGAAAUGACAUUCGUGGGUCCUAACUUCACUUGUAUACACGAGGUAGGCGUUUCAAUCCGCUAGUGACCAUGAUUCUGCCAGAGCCUUAUGCAGAAUUAAGGAAGCUUACUGGUUACGGAACUUUGCUGGUAGCAAUAGGAUCAUGAUUAGUCAUAUCUUGCCAGAUGAAAGCAUGCACGAAGACGGUAGAACUGCUGAAUCUCGGUGAUGUUCGAACCUGACGGACAUGACAGCGUAGUUCUUUCUGGUGCUGACUGAUGUUGGUGUGGAAGUGGCAGCACCCCUGGUUAGGCAACCAAAUGUUCAGCACCCCUGAACAGGAAAUGAUUCUGUUUAUGAAUCAUGAUUUGGAAAGGGCUAAAAAGGACACGGAGCAAUAUUGCCAAAUUUCGGUUGUGGGAUGGGUGACCUACCUCUUUGCUACUUGUGCAUCCCAAUCCACUACUGGAAACUUAAUAACUUAGAGUGGAAGGGAGUAGAAGAAAGAUUUGCUAAGAGACUGAGUAGUUAGACUGGUAAGCAUCUAUCUUUGGGUGAUAGGUUAGUCCUAUUAAACUCAUUUUUAUCCAACCUUUCCACUUAUAUGAUAUCUUUCUUUCAAAUCACGUGAGAGGUCCUUCAAAGAUUAGACUAUUAUAAAUCUAAAUUUUACUGACAAAGUAAGGGUCAUAAAAAGAAAUGCCUCCUAGCGAAAUUGCGGACUCUCUACCAUCUCAAGGAAAACGACGGUUUAGGAAUCCAAGACCUAGAUGCCUAUUCUCUACAAAUGAUUUUUUAACCUUCUCGACUAAGAAGGAAUUUGGCAAGACCUUUUAAGAAACAAAUAUUUGGGAUCAAAACCCUUCUCUCAAACUGAUUGAAACCGGGAGAUUCGCACUUUUAGGUCAGUUUGAUGAAGGUGAAACUAUAUUUACUUUGGCUUGAUACUUUUGUCGUUAAAGAUGGCACACAAACUAGUUUAUGGGAAGAUAAGUGGCUUGGAGAUUCACCACUCAAAGAUCAAUAUCUCAGUCUAUACUACAUUGUGCGCCAUAAGCAUAAAUCAGUGGCGCAGGUCCUACAAGCACAUCCCCAUAUGUCUCUUUCCGACGAACAUUAGAUGGCCUAAAGUUGAUCGUUUGGAAUAAUCAUCUCGACAAGAUCAAUAGUAUAUCAAUCGGUUGAGAGCGAGAUGGUGACUGACCCAAAAUGGGCCAAUUCACGGUAAACUCCUUAUACCGAGCACUAAAGCAGAUUGAGACCCCAAACAUAAACAAUCAACUGUGGAAACUGAAAUUACCGACAAAAAUAAAUAAAAAUUUCUUUUGGUACCUCCACCGAGGAGUCCUUUUAACGAAGGAAAAUCUGAUAAAAAGAAAUUGAAAAAUGAUUUAGAAGUGUUGUUUUUUCAUAAAAAUAAGACGAUUAAAACACCUCUUGUUUUACUGUUGUCUUGCACGUUUUACAUGGUUUAUU